This 446-nucleotide ribosomal RNA is filed under the name uncultured bacterium. RNAcentral's name for it is "partial 16S ribosomal RNA". It matches the Rfam family "Bacterial small subunit ribosomal RNA", at positions 338 to 795 of the family's 1533-position model. The record is from RNAcentral.
CCUACGGGAGGCAGCAGUCGAGAAUCAUUCACAAUGGGGGAAACCCUGAUGGUGCGACGCCGCGUGGGGGAAUGAAGGUCUUCGGAUUGUAAACCCCUGUCAUGUGGGAGCAAAUUAAAAAGAUAGUACCACAAGAGGAAGAGACGGCUAACUCUGUGCCAGCAGCCGCGGUAAUACAGAGGUCUCAAGCGUUGUUCGGAAUCACUGGGCGUAAGGCGUGCGGAGGCUGUUUCGUAAGUCGUGUGUGAAAGGCGCGGGCUCAACCCGCGGACGGCACAUGAUACUGCGAGACUAGAGUAAUGGAGGGGGAACCGGUAUUCUCGGUGUAGCAGUGAAAUGCGUAGAUAUCGAGAGGAACACUCGUGGCGAAGGCGGGUUCCUGGACAUUAACUGACGCUGAGGCACGAAGGCCAGGGGAGCGAAAGGGAUUAGAUACCCGGGUAGUC